UGAACAUCGACAUUUUGAACGCACAUUGCGCCCCUUUGGGAUUCUAUCCCGAGGGCCAUGUCUGUCUGAGGGUCGGUAAUCAUAAAAGCCUGUAACUGUGUUUGUCAAUCGAGUCUUCAUAUUGUGUUGAUUGGAUUCCACUUUGCAAGAUUCUUGACAGACAUUUGUGGGGCUCAGCAUUGGCUUGUCAUUGACAAAAGACUCUGACAUGCACAUGCCGGCACACAGCAGUCCCAGUGACAUGUGUGUGCUGCUGCAGUUGUGUGUUUAAAUGUCUUUCAAUGAAGUUGAAGCCAUGUUAUUGUGAGUAAUUUGCUCUACAUUCAAUGUUGUUUGUUGAGAGUGUGUCUGCAUCCCUGCAAGCUGUUGCAUGCUGGUCGAUGAAUACACCUUUCCAUGCUCAAUGAUUGACAGAGCAAUGCUUGAAAUAAGAUGAGUUUGCACAUUUGGUCAAGCACUGUCGAUGAUAAUAGAAAUAUUGCCUCCAGUGUGUGUACCAAAUGUGUGUAGAAGCUGCAUUCCACUGGCUGGUUCAUAGCUGAAACCAGACUGCCAGUUUGUGUAUGCACUAUUGCCAUCAGAGGGCUUGAGCCUUUGAUUUCGAGGUUCGUCUGUAUGAUUGCAGCAUUCAAUCUGACUGGAUGAAAACAGUUUGUUGAAUUUCAAUAUGAUAAUACUAUGUCAAGUGAGUAAUGCAAGCUUAAAAUACUCUGUGGUGAUUUGUGCAUGUGUUCCACACACACUUUGAACCAUACCAAUUCAUUUUACUGACCUCAGAUCAGGCCAGAUUACCCGCCUAAUUUAAGCAUAUCAAUAAGUGGAGGAAAAGAA
RNAcentral lists this ribosomal RNA (831 nucleotides) under Nilaparvata lugens (brown planthopper). RNAcentral describes it as "eukaryotic LSU rRNA". The stretch from base 769 to 831 matches the Rfam family "Eukaryotic large subunit ribosomal RNA", at positions 1 to 63 of the family's 3401-position model. The record is from RNAcentral. Lineage: Eukaryota; Metazoa; Arthropoda; Insecta; Hemiptera; Delphacidae.